Molecule: non-coding RNA, 213 nt
Organism: Vicia faba (fava bean)
Lineage: Eukaryota; Viridiplantae; Streptophyta; Magnoliopsida; Fabales; Fabaceae
Source: the annotation of a GenBank genome assembly
AUGUGUGUUUUCUGCAGGUUCUAUUGCAACAGGAUGGGAUUGAGAGAGAAAAAAAAGUCUUUUCUUUGCGUUUUUGGCAAGUUGUGGUGCAGAUUUUGCAUCAAAGCAGUAGCAGGGUGCAGCAACAUGACCUCGCAGGUUUUGGGCAGCAUUGCAGCAUACUUUUGGGACAGUAAUGCAGCAUACUUUUUGGCAUUAUUGGCAGCAAGAUAG